UACAGAGGUCCCAAGCGUUGUUCGGAUUCAUUGGGCGUAAAGGGUGCGUAGGUGGCAGGGUAAGUUGGAUGUGAAAUCCCGGGGCUCAACCCCGGAACUGCAUUCAAUACUGCCCUGCUAGAGUACUGGAGAGGAGAUUGGAAUUCAUGGUGUAGCAGUGAAAUGCGUAGAGAUGCGGAGGAACACCGAUGGCGAAGGCAGCCCCCUGGGCCAACACUGACGCUCAGGCACGAAAGCGUGGGGAGCAAACAGG
This 253-nucleotide ribosomal RNA is filed under the name uncultured bacterium. RNAcentral's name for it is "partial 16S ribosomal RNA". It matches the Rfam family "Bacterial small subunit ribosomal RNA", at positions 524 to 776 of the family's 1533-position model. The record is from RNAcentral.